UCAUUUGUAUGAAUGCAGUUCAUGGUAAGAAAUAGGAUGCAGAUAAUGACAGUGAGUCACAAAUGAGAAUGGAGGGAGCAAAGCAGAGGAGGCCUUAACAGAGCUCACAUGUCGAAGCCAUGCUGGGCAGGUCAUCAUAUGGGUCCAAAGAAAGAUAUGACGAAGUUCAUCACUCUAGACAGGACCCUCGUGUGUCAUAUAUGAAUCCUGGAGGGAUAGCUUUCCCUAAUUUUCUUCCAGAUGUGCUCAUCAGCCAUCUGGAACUGUUUCCCAAGCUUCAUCCAUUAUGCAAAUGAGGCUUAAGACUCGUCAUGUUUCAUCUACUGAUACUAAUACAUUAACGCUGGAUGUUCCAGCACAAGCCCUUCGAAGACAUUGCCUUUGCAUGAGGCACUGGCUUGAGCUCACACCUCAUUACUUCUAAUGGCUCUGUGGCACUUGAGGUUACUGGGCUUCUAACUGCC
Long non-coding RNA from Marmota monax (woodchuck), 464 nucleotides. RefSeq lists it as uncharacterized. The transcript has 3 exons. The record is from RefSeq and is a predicted model, not a curated record. NCBI's taxonomy places the organism in Eukaryota, Metazoa, Chordata, Mammalia, Rodentia, Sciuridae.